Molecule: long non-coding RNA, 456 nt
Organism: Papilio machaon (common yellow swallowtail)
Lineage: Eukaryota; Metazoa; Arthropoda; Insecta; Lepidoptera; Papilionidae
Exons: 4
Source: RefSeq, a predicted model, not a curated record
UACAAAUCUGUACAAAGGAGAAAAAAGGAGUUUGAAAAUGUCAACAACAAUGCAUUUUCUAUUUAUGUUGCUGAUUUUUGGUUUUUUCGCUAUGUUUAAUACUUCCCAAGUCUCUCAUAAGUGGCUGAAAAAUCUGAAAAAACCUCGAUUUACCAACAGAGGGGUUGGGACGAGGAUUUUUUGGCCAAAACGAAGCAUAGAUCAAAGAGAUUACAUGACACAUGGUCAUGUAUAUAAAGAUGGAUUACCGGACAGAUAUACGGUAGGUUACAGUAAAAAUAUAGGCAACAAAAGACAUAAUGAAGUAGGCAGAACAGUGUUGCCAAGCACAUAAUUGUACAUUAAAAUAGUAUUAAGUAAAAUGCAACUGUCAUUAUCUGACACACAGAGAGAUAACCUUAGUAUAGAUUACAUUGUGGCAAUAAAUCUGUUAAUAAACUUUUGCACUUUAAGUGU